CCGCCCCACCCCUUUGGGCGUCUGACGUCAUGGCGCCGCGUUCCACACGCCCGGACCAAUGGGAGGAGCCGACGGUGACGUAACUAAUCUCCCUUCUAGCGAGGAGCUACUCCGGCAACCUGGAGCGUUGCAAUUAGAAUGAGUAAACCUUGCUGACCUAAGGGGAAGGAGGAAAGGAGGGGGUCACUAAGAGUGUAAGACUUGGAUUUGGCGAGGCGGCCAAAGCGGGAAACCCAAGAGCCUUGAAUCACGAAGGGAUGCCCAAAGAGUUAGCAGCGAGUCCUACUUGGGAAUUAAGACGUCUAGCUUCUGUUCAGGGUCAGCGACCUGAUACAACUCAUACGCCUUCUGGGCCUCACUUUUCCCAUGUAUUGAGGACUAAGUUGAAAGGUGACCUCUAGGCCGCGCGCAGUGGCUCACGCCUGUAAUUCCAGCACUUUGAGAGGCCAAGGCAGGAGGAUCGCUUGAGCCUGGGACGUCGAGGCUGCGGUAGCUGUGAUCGCGCCACUGCACUCCAGGAGGGCAACGGAGCGCGACUCUGUAUCAAAAGAAAAAAAAAGAAAGUUGACCUCUGACUCUUCCUUCAAUUCUGACAUUCUAUGGGUUUAAACCAGGUAUUUCUUCAGAGCAGCGCAAGAAGGACCCAACACACUGCCUAUUCCUCUUCGUUAAAGAUUAGCAUUCCCCCUUGCUUGAAGAUGAUGUAAAAAUACCUGCCUUACAAGAUAGGUGCCUCUUUACCCAGGCGUGGUAGUGCGCACCUGUAAUCCCAGCUACAGCUACUCAGGAGGCAGAAGCCGGAGAAUCACUUAAACAUGGGAAGUCGAGGCUGUAGUGAGCCGAAAUUGCGCCACUGCACAUCAGCCUGGGUGACAGAGCAAGAUCCUGUCUCAAAAAAAAAAAAAAAAAGAUAGGUGCCUCACCAUCUGGAUCUACUCUAAAGUCCCAACCUAAUCAUUAGACCAAUAACUAAAAUAACAACAUGAAUGACCAGGACGUGCCAAAGGAGGAAAGGGACUAUAGCUAAAGGAGCUGCAGAACAUAACCAAUACGUACUGACAAACACCGGGAGAAUAUUAAUGGGACUGGAUUCUGAGGAUUCCAAUUCUCAACCAAAAUAGGGAGAGGUUAUCAACUUGGAACACAGGAUUUAAUACCCUGACAAGGACCCUGAGAAAUAGUGCUAACAUAUUCCUAGGAUGGGUCUUAUGAG
Molecule: non-coding RNA, 1213 nt
Organism: Chlorocebus sabaeus (green monkey)
Lineage: Eukaryota; Metazoa; Chordata; Mammalia; Primates; Cercopithecidae
Source: RefSeq, a predicted model, not a curated record